This 1003-nucleotide long non-coding RNA is filed under the name Homo sapiens (human). RNAcentral's name for it is "HSALNT0378537". The record is from RNAcentral. Lineage: Eukaryota; Metazoa; Chordata; Mammalia; Primates; Hominidae.
GCCAUUCUCUAAUCUUGAGUACCCAGGGACACGAUACACUGCGGAAGGCUGCAGGGACCUCUGCCCAGGAAAGCCAGGCUUGCAUGAAGGAAAUGAUUUCCUAUGAUUCUGCUUACUGCUUAAAAAAAUUAAUCAAGUUUUCUGCCUGACAAGAUCCAGUAUCUGCCGGAGGAGCCCCACCUUCUGCUACUAUUAUGUUCUUCAGAUGAGUAGAAGAGAGUGGGGAGGGAGAGAGCAGGAAGAAGAAAGGAAGAAUAAUGUCUUGAAAUUGUUUUCUAAGGAUAAUGGUCUCCAGCUUCGUCAAUGUUCCUGCAAAGGACAUGAUGCUGACUUUGAAGAUGCAAGCUUCCACAUCUACAGCCUCAAGGAAACAAAUUCAGCCAACCAACUGAGGGAGCUUUCCUUGUCCUGCCUCAAGAUGAGAUCACAGUCUGCCCAACACCAUGAUUUAGGCCUUGUGACACCUGAGCUCAGAUGGAAAAGAAUGGUGUUACUGAGACCCUUCAAGAUUCCCAGUGUAAUUCAAUAAAGAAAAGGCAACACAAAGGGGUUGUAUAGAAUUCGCCACAUUAUGGACCCAUGUCAUAGAGAGAAUCCACGGUGCAUUUGUUAGCUGCAUUUAAAUGACAACACUUUCAGAUCCAAGAUUUAUUUGGGAUAAAAAUUUACCUGGAUGCAAGGCUAUUCAGAAUGAAGAUUAAUGAUAUGGUUUGGCUGUGUCCCCACCCAAACUUCAUCUUGAAUUCCCACGUGUUGUGAGAGGGACCUGGUGGGAGAUAAUUGAACCAUGGGGGCAGGUCUUUCUCAUGCUGUUCUCAUGAGAGUGAAUAAGUCUCAUGAAACCUGAUGGUUUUAUAAGGGGGAAUUUCCCUGCACAAGCUCUCUCUCUGCCUUUUGCCAUCCAUGUAAGACGUGACUUGGUCCUCCUUGCCUUCUACCAUGAUUAUGAGGCCUCCCCAGCCACGUGGAACUGUGAGUCCAUUAAACCUCUUUCUUUUGUAAA